UUUAUCGACAAAUACCUGCCUAGCAGAAACGGCACAUGGCAGGUAUGGAUUAAGACUUCUCCAGAAAGGGUGAAGUCAAAGAGCAUCAGUCAGAAAGCCCACAUGCAUUGCUUCUCACACCAAUGUCUGCAGCUCCAAGUAUGAGAGGUCCACCCAUAGCAGCAACAUAAGCAUAACCACCACAAACUCUUGAACAGACAGUCAUUCUGAAUCAGAGAUUUCUUCUUCAUACUCGUCCAGUAUGUAGAUCAGGGCCCACUUUCUUGCAGCUAAAACACAAGCCACACCUCUACCUCCCAUUGCCAAAAAAAAGAUCGACUUGAUUUCAGUCCAGUAAUCCUUGAAUGUAUGGCCAUAACUAACAUGAUGUUUAGAUACCUUUGUUGGGUAAAAAUAAAAUUACAACGCAUGCAUCACACUAAAACACAGGCAGGAAGCAACCCUUAAUUGCCUAAAGAGGCUACAGCAUGCAUGUAAUUAUGAAUGCUCCACAGUAUCUUGCUACACUAGAUGCCAUGAUAGUAUCUAUGGUCAUGAACUUGUAAAUAGUGGUUCUUAGUCAGUAACUCAAGACUGCUAUGCACCUACCAUGAGAGAAUGAUUAUUCAUUUUGUAUUUGUCUGGUGACUAUUAAAUCAUUUCGCACUUCGUCCUCUCAAUUGAUUUAAAAUUUAGGGGAAAACUAAUACUUCAUUUUUUUUACUUCUUCGACUAAAAAAUAUUCUUCUUUGGAGCAUAUUUUUGCACUUCUUCAAUCUAUAGGGACAAACAUGAAGUGGUCUGUUAAAGAGGCACAGUGUACCUAUGCCAGUCACAUUUGAACUUUAAUAGAAGGUUCUAAGUGGAAAUGUAGUAAGGAGCAUGGACAGGAUUAAUUCAAUUCCAAUACCCAACCAACAAGAUAAAUUUGUUCCCGACACUGGCAAGUUUAUCAAACAUUGAUCACUAAGGAAAGAGUAUGGGCAACAAUAAGUUUCCAGACAUCCAAAACUGCAAAUGGACAUGGCAAGAAGCCGAAAGAAAAAACCUUCAGAACUAUACAAUUGAUGGCAUAGCAAUGAAUUGAUCCUUAGCUUGAUGGUAUGACAGUGUCAAAAUGUUCUUACCACCAACUGACAAGGGAGAACUACAGGACGGGGAAUGCUACAAAGCUUCUCAUUCUCCAUCUCCAGGCGUAAGAUAUGGUC
Molecule: long non-coding RNA, 1187 nt
Filed under: Eucalyptus grandis
Lineage: Eukaryota; Viridiplantae; Streptophyta; Magnoliopsida; Myrtales; Myrtaceae
Description: long non-coding RNA (EGRA_LNC003197)
Source: RNAcentral